This 497-nucleotide ribosomal RNA is filed under the name uncultured bacterium. RNAcentral's name for it is "partial 16S ribosomal RNA". It matches the Rfam family "Bacterial small subunit ribosomal RNA", at positions 28 to 507 of the family's 1533-position model. The record is from RNAcentral.
GAUGAACGCUGGCGGCGUGCCUAAUACAUGCAAGUCGAGCGAACGGACGAGAAGCUUGCUUUUCUGAUGUUAGCGGCGGGCGGGUGAGUAACACGUGGAUAACCUACCUAUAAGACUGGGAUAACUUCGGGAAACCGGAGCUAAUACCGGAUAAUAUUUUGAACCGCAUGGUUCAAAAGUGAAAGACGGUCUUGCUGUCACUUAUAGAUGGAUCCGCGCUGCAUUAGCUAGUUGGUAAGGUAACGGCUUACCAAGGCAACGAUGCAUAGCCGACCUGAGAGGGUGAUCGGCCACACUGGAACUGAGACACGGUCCAGACUCCUACGGGAGGCAGCAGUAGGGAAUCUUCCGCAAUGGGCGAAAGCCUGACGGAGCAACGCCGCGUGAGUGAUGAAGGUCUUCGGAUCGUAAAACUCUGUCAUUAGGGAAGAACAUAUGUGUAAGUAACUGUGCACAUCUUGACGGUACCUAAUCAGAAAGCCACGGCUAACUACGUG